This 165-nucleotide ribosomal RNA is filed under the name uncultured bacterium. RNAcentral's name for it is "partial 16S rRNA". It matches the Rfam family "Bacterial small subunit ribosomal RNA", at positions 355 to 511 of the family's 1533-position model. The record is from RNAcentral.
UAGGGAAUCUUCGGCAAUGGGGGCAACCCUGACCGAGCAACGCCGCAUGAGUGAAGAAGGUUUUCGGAUCGUAAAGCUCUGUUGUAAGAGAAGAACGUGUGUGAGAGUGGAAAGUUCACACAGUGACGGUAACUUACCAGAAAGGGACGGCUAACUACGUGCCAG